UGAAUGAUAAAAAUGGCGCAAAUACAGCGCCAUUUUUAUUGGUUAAAAACAUUGUUUUUAACUUUCUGAUGCAGAUAGCCAGUGAGUACAUCGCGCUACUUCAGGAUGCUGUAGAUCCGGAGAACACUAUAGAGGAAGAGGCAUUGUUGCUGGCAGAUGGAAGAAGUUUCGGGUUUUGUUAUCCCUGAAAAACGAAGCCCC
Molecule: non-coding RNA, 201 nt
Organism: Escherichia coli IAI39
Lineage: Bacteria; Pseudomonadati; Pseudomonadota; Gammaproteobacteria; Enterobacterales; Enterobacteriaceae
Source: Rfam